Molecule: non-coding RNA, 1481 nt
Organism: Phoenix dactylifera (date palm)
Lineage: Eukaryota; Viridiplantae; Streptophyta; Magnoliopsida; Arecales; Arecaceae
Source: RefSeq, a predicted model, not a curated record
CCUUCCUUCGCGCGAAUCUACCGUUGAAUCACCCACCGCACAGCUCUCAAAGCGCUUCCAACUGCUCAUCCGCCUGCUCUCCCUUCUCGUCUCUCACAUAUCGAUUAGGGUUUUCUCUUCUAAUCUUUUGCCAAAUCCUCCGAUCUCCGCCAUUAGAGGACCUUCGCCCUCCUCUUCUUCGUCUCAUUAGCCUCUCUUCCAGAUCGAAGUGCGACUGAUUACUCUACUGGAUUCUGUGGAAGAUGGGGGUUUUGUAUCGAGAUUCUGGUUCAUGUUGUUCCCUGCGAAGGAGUACAAGAUUGUGGUUGUGGGUUUCGAUAAUGCUGGAAAAACCACGGCAUUGUAUAAGCUACACCUUGGAGAGGUAGUAACCUCCGAUCCUACGCUUGGGAGCAACAUCUAAGAGGUCGUUUGCAAGACAAUAUGGUUUGAGGUGAGAAAAAAAAAUUGCCAUUCUUAUUUCCUUUCUAAUGGUAUUUUCUGUGGAGCUGCCUAAAUUUGGAUUUUGAAGGGACUCCUCCUCCUCUCUCUCUCUCUCUCAAUCGCACAAAAUGCUCUUUUUUGUCUCGAUAGUUUUGUUCAAGAUUGGUUCGGUCAUUUCUUUUGAGGGUCAUGUUUGUAUCCUUUCUAGAUGCCAUGAAACGAGCAUGAGUCCUGUUUUAAAAGGAAGCACUGCUCAUCUAUUAAGCCAUAGUUACUGUGGAUGUAAAGAUCGUUUGCAACAUGGAAAGCAUAUUUGAUUUUGGUGAAGUCACUUUGGUUGGGGAUUGUGUCUCUGGUGGCUUGUUAGUUGACAAUUUGUUCCUUAAAUUGUAAUUGCAAAUCAAACAUCAAACAUCAUACUGUCCAUUUUCUAAUUUUGCCUAGACUCUGCCCACUUGUAGGGAGCCUUGGAGGAUUGCUCCUUGGAUGGAUGAGCUUGAAAUGUGCAGGCUAUAAGCUAGGAAUCCCUACCCAUUAGAUGGCCUUUCUCACAUCAUUUAGUACUAAUUCAUAGAGUUGACAUCAGAUUCAGUACCCUCACUUUUUUUUUCUUUUCUAUCCUUUCUGCUUUGGUGGGGAUAAUCCAAACAGAUUCUAAGCAUCACAUUACAUUACAGGAUCAUGCGAUCUGUGUGCAGAACUCCUGUUAUUGGUGGUAACUGAACAUCUAAGACUGUCGACACCUGAACCAACUAAUGGCAUCACUCUGAACUUCAAUGGAUCAUACCUUGAUAAAAGGUAUGAUUGUUGGCCUGGCCUACGUCUGGCUGCUUCAAUGUUCUAAUGAGCUACUAUUUGCUGGCAAAAUUGAGUGCCUAUUUUUUUUAAUAUUUUGAUAUUGCAUUGUGAUGACAGCAUGUAAUGGAUUGCAAUAGCUAGACAGGGAGUGAAGAUUAUUAUCAUUCAAAAUGAUGUCACUAUUUAAAUGUUAACAUACAUACUUAAAGCAUAAUGUUAAUAGUGGUUAGCUAUAAUGUUAUAAUAGUUGCUACAAAAAC